RNAcentral lists this small nuclear RNA (107 nucleotides) under Meriones unguiculatus (Mongolian gerbil). The record is from RNAcentral. Lineage: Eukaryota; Metazoa; Chordata; Mammalia; Rodentia; Muridae.
GUGCUCGCUUCAGCAGCACAUAUACUAAAAUUGGAACGAUACAGAGAAGAUUAACAUGGCCCCUGCGCAGGGAUGACACACAAAUUCGUGAAGCGUUCCAUAUUUUU